This 497-nucleotide ribosomal RNA is filed under the name uncultured bacterium. RNAcentral's name for it is "partial 16S ribosomal RNA". It matches the Rfam family "Bacterial small subunit ribosomal RNA", at positions 28 to 507 of the family's 1533-position model. The record is from RNAcentral.
GAUGAACGCUGGCGGCGUGCCUAAUACAUGCAAGUCGAGCGAACGGACGAGAAGCUUGCUUCUCUGAUGUUAGCGGCGGACGGGUGAGUAACACGUGGAUAACCUACCUAUAAGACUGGGAUAACUUCGGGAAACCGUAGCUAAUACCGGAUAAUAUUUUGAACCGCAUGGUUCAAAAGUGCAAGACGGCCUUGCUGUCCCUUAUAGAUGGAUCCGCGCUGCAUUAGCUAGUUGGUAAGGUAACGGCUUACCAAGGCAACGAUGCAUAGCCGACCUGAGAGGGUGAUCGGCCACACUGGAACUGAGACACGGUCCAGACUCCUACGGGAGGCAGCAGUAGGGAAUCUUCCGCAAUGGGCGAAAGCCUGACGGAGCAACGCCGCGUGAGUGAUGAAGGUCUUCGGAUCGUAAAACUCUGUUAUUAGGGAAGAACAUAUGUGUAAGUAACUGUGCACAUCUUGACGGUACCUAAUCAGAAAGCCACGGCUAACUACGUG